AUUGAACGCUGGCGGCAGGCUUAACACAUGCAAGUCGAGCGGUAGCACAGGGGAGCUUGCUCCCUGGGUGACGAGCGGCGGACGGGUGAGUAAUGUCUGGGAAACUGCCUGAUGGAGGGGGAUAACUACUGGAAACGGUAGCUAAUACCGCAUAACGUCGCAAGACCAAAGAGGGGGACCUUCGGGCCUCUUGCCAUCAGAUGUGCCCAGAUGGGAUUAGCUAGUAGGUGGGGUAAUGGCUCACCUAGGCGACGAUCCCUAGCUUGUCUGAGAGGAUGACCAGCCACACUGGAACUGAGACACGGUCCAGACUCCUACGGGAGGCAGCAGUGGGGAAUAUUGCACAAUGGGCGCAAGCCUGAUGCAGCCAUGCCGCGUGUGUGAAGAAGGCCUUCGGGUUGUAAAGCACUUUCAGCGAGGAGGAAGGUGGUGAGCUUAAUACGUUCAUCAAUUGACGUUACUCGCAGAAGAAGCACCGGCUAACUCCGUG
This 490-nucleotide ribosomal RNA is filed under the name uncultured bacterium. RNAcentral describes it as "partial 16S ribosomal RNA". It matches the Rfam family "Bacterial small subunit ribosomal RNA", at positions 30 to 507 of the family's 1533-position model. The record is from RNAcentral.